This 97-nucleotide ribosomal RNA is filed under the name Paragonimus ohirai. Its description in RNAcentral is "partial 5.8S ribosomal RNA". It matches the Rfam family "5.8S ribosomal RNA", at positions 1 to 88 of the family's 154-position model. From Rfam's summary of the family: 5.8S ribosomal RNA (5.8S rRNA) is a component of the large subunit of the eukaryotic ribosome. Lineage: Eukaryota; Metazoa; Platyhelminthes; Trematoda; Plagiorchiida; Troglotrematidae. The record is from RNAcentral.
UGUGAGUACAACUCUGUGCGGUGGAUCACUCGGCUCGUGUGUCGAUGAAGAGCGCAGCCAACUGUGUGAAUUAAUGCGAACUGCAUACUGCUUUGAG